UGUCUUCUGGGAUGUUUGUAUGUGAACUGUGUCCCUGAGCCGAUAAGUUUUACCUUAGGGAAUUGACUAUUAACUAUUGUGCAGGCCCGGCAUGUAUCGGGAAGCCUACGGUUAGCAUGAUAUUUCCGCCCUGAACACACGGUGUUCAGGACUAUUGUGAGCUGCGGCAUCUUGGAAGACAA
Molecule: non-coding RNA, 182 nt
Filed under: Colwellia sp. RSH04
Lineage: Bacteria; Pseudomonadati; Pseudomonadota; Gammaproteobacteria; Alteromonadales; Colwelliaceae
Description: 6S RNA
Rfam family: 6S / SsrS RNA
About the family: E. coli 6S RNA was the first non coding RNA to be sequenced, but its function was unknown until recently. It consists of 184 nucleotides that fold into an extended hairpin structure with a large single-stranded internal bulge.
Source: RNAcentral